UCUACCCAUGUGGUACGCCAUUGACCCUCCUCAUUACCAUCUUAUGUUUUGCAAUUUUCUUGGGGGAGGUAAUUAGUUUGAGAAGGUGGGAUGUUGUUGGUGCAAGGCUAUAUUAUGUUCUAUGGACGAAGCGCAAGGAACAAAGAUGUAAAGCUAUCAAGCAAUAGACCAACAAAGGAACGCUCGGUAUUUGUUCUUGAAUCAAUGACAAAGAGUAAGGGCUAGUGAUCAAUAAAAUAAGAUUAGUGGGGCAUCUUGC
Molecule: long non-coding RNA, 259 nt
Organism: Vitis riparia (riverbank grape)
Lineage: Eukaryota; Viridiplantae; Streptophyta; Magnoliopsida; Vitales; Vitaceae
Exons: 3
Source: RefSeq, a predicted model, not a curated record